CCUGUGGCUCUCGCGACAGUACUGGUUAAGAAAGAAGUAAAAAUUCAACGGCUGAUCUACUACAUAAGUCGAGUAUUGAGAGAUGCCGAAAUCAGAUACACUAAAUUAGAGAAGCUAACUUAUGCCCUGUUGAUUGCAACCCGAAGGCUCCGACCUUACUUUCAAGGGCACACCAUAACACUGCUCACCGACCAGCCGAUUAGGGCAGUUCUGCAUCG
Molecule: long non-coding RNA, 218 nt
Filed under: Elaeis guineensis (African oil palm)
Lineage: Eukaryota; Viridiplantae; Streptophyta; Magnoliopsida; Arecales; Arecaceae
Description: long non-coding RNA (EGUI_LNC080173)
Source: RNAcentral